Molecule: transfer RNA, 73 nt
Filed under: Micromonospora robiginosa
Lineage: Bacteria; Bacillati; Actinomycetota; Actinomycetes; Micromonosporales; Micromonosporaceae
Description: Micromonospora ferruginea tRNA-Trp
Rfam family: tRNA
About the family: Transfer RNA (tRNA) molecules are approximately 80 nucleotides in length. Their secondary structure includes four short double-helical elements and three loops (D, anti-codon, and T loops).
Source: RNAcentral
AGGGGCGUAGCUCAACCGGGAGAGCACCGGUCUCCAAAACCGAAGGUUGCAGGUUCGAACCCUGUCGCUCCUG